Molecule: small nuclear RNA, 106 nt
Organism: Hippopotamus amphibius kiboko
Lineage: Eukaryota; Metazoa; Chordata; Mammalia; Artiodactyla; Hippopotamidae
Source: RefSeq, a predicted model, not a curated record
GUGUUCUCACUUCAGGAGCACAUGUAUUAAAACUGGAACCACACAUAGAUUAGCAUGGCUCCUGAUUGAGGAUGACAUGCAAAUUCAUGAAACAUUCUGUAUUUUU